This is a long non-coding RNA of Cavia porcellus (domestic guinea pig), 9732 nucleotides long. RefSeq lists it as uncharacterized. NCBI's taxonomy places the organism in Eukaryota, Metazoa, Chordata, Mammalia, Rodentia, Caviidae. The record is from RefSeq and is a predicted model, not a curated record. The transcript is spliced from 6 exons.
AGAGAAGGUUCACAAUGCUGAAAUUCACAGGCUUGGCUUGGGGGAACAUCAGUCACAGUUCAGUGCUGGCUCCUUGCAUUCAGGACCAAAUCUCAGGAUGAGGAGGCACCAAUGAGCAAUACAUGGAAACCACAGAAGCAGAGCGAGGGCACAAAAUAGCUGGCCAGUGGUACCGGCACCACAGAGGACAGACACUCUGCACAGAACAGGUCACCUUCUCUCAGCUGGCAGUUCAUGUGGACUUCAAUGCCCUGCAGUCACAGUGUGGGUGCUCAGGGUGGGGCAGCAGAGAAAGACUUCUUUACAAGAGCUCAUUUUGGAAUAGGAGUCAUCACCAUCAGGAGCUAGAGCAGAAUAGAGCACCUUCCAGGGGCCUUGGAAGGACACAUUCCUCGCUUGGGGAAGCUCAGCUUUCUAGAGGACCUGCUGGGACAGACCAGAGGCUUGCAGCUAAGAGUUUGCCUUAAAUCUCAGAGGAGACUUGGGACUUGGACUUUUCUGCAGUGCUGAAACUGUUAGGACUUUGGCAACUCUUGGAGACAGACUAAAUGCCUUUUGCAUAAAGGGCUACACCUAGCCUAAGGGAUUGAACCCAGAGCCUCGGGUACGCUUCCGACAGACAAUUGAGAUGCAAGUAUGUAACAGUUCGGAGCGCUGGAGUGGCAGCCCGUAGCUUUGCCUACAGAUAAGAUUCGGGAGAACCACAAAGCACCGUUGUUCAGCACAGCCAAGCUUUCCCUAAGGAACGACCACCUUCAGUCACACCAAUGAGCUGUCGCUGAAGAUUUUCUUUUGUGUGGUUUUUCUGAAGACAAUCUUGGUCUGUUUGACGUUAUUUUUCAGAAGUUAUCUCCAAAAAGGGUAGCAUCCAGUCAGGAGGACUUAGGGAUACUAUUACAUUCUUUGAGGAUCAAGAAAUGCUUCUGAUUAGCUUGGAGUUGAUGACAACUGAGGCCAGAGGAAGUAAGGACCUUCGGCAAUCUGCUAAGACACACACGUCACACACAAGUCUGUCAAUAUUAGUCACUGCAAAAACUGAAAGGACAAUUUUGUUGGUGACACAGGUGAAGAGAUGAUGCCAGCAGUGUACUCACAUCCUUGCCUGCACCUCCUCCCAGGUCCAGGUUACCCAGCGGUGUGGCCAAAGCCUUCUCCAGCUGUGAUCUGAUGCACCAACUAUCUACCAGCUGGUGUUUGGCAGUGAGAGGACAGCAGCAGUUUCUCCUUGUGGUAGGAGCUGAGUGCACAUGGUACGCCUUUUCUCUCUGCUUUCACAAAAAUCUGUCUGUGUCUGUCUGUAACCAUCCGUCUCCCCCAAGAUUGCUGCAUCAUCUUGACCAUCAUGACCAAUUCAAUUUGUGUGUGUGUGUGGGUGUUUGUGUGUGUUUUGAGGUCCAGGCCUUUGCAUUUGGCUACAGCCCAACCUUUUUAUAAAGUUCUUAAGUUUGAAACAGGGUCUUGCUAAAUUGCCCAGGCUGGGCUCAAACUUGCAAUCCUCCUGCCUCAGCCACUCAGAGUGCUGGGAUCAUGGACGUAAUUCUCCAUGGCCUUGUUCUGUAUCGGGAACCUCUGCAGUGAGCCUCCAGUCUCCUGCCAGGUGUGACAGGGCAUGGUGAGAGGGAAAGAAAGAGCAAGAGACAAAGUGGCAGUGCAUCAGGGAUGGGGAUCACAGGUUGUUCUUGAGGAACAAAAGCCAGGAUGCAGUCAGAAUCUUGGCGUUUAUUGAUCAAAGAGGGGAUCUGAGGAGGGGAUUAUCAAAUGACUCAAGAGGACAGAGAUGAUCACAUGCUAAGAAGCAUCUUGCCCUGGAGUGUCUAUAGUCUUAGUUUUAGCCUUAGUGGGUAGAAGAGGAUGGCCCAUCCCUAAAGAAAUAAUGAGAAGUCUCCACAGGAUAAUAUCAAGAUUUCCAAGCCUAUGUUUAUCCCUUCUCGAAGUAUGCAAAAUUAGUUAUUGUGAAUUGGUGGUCCCCACCAAUUGUAGAAUUUAUCUUGUACUAAUCAAAACCAUGAGAUUGGACUCCCUGCUGAUCCUUGGGUUCUUUCAGGCAGUACACAAGUGUAGACAGACAUCACAGCUAAUCAACCACCUAUUAGAACAGAACACACAGUACUGGCUGCUGGAGUUUCCAAACAAGGAUCUCUUGAACAAAGGGGUGAACAAACUCCCCAAAGUUUGAGAGCUGAGCAGAAGGGCAGAGUAGGCAGGCAUCAGGGCGGCUACUGGACAGCUGCUGAAAACCCACCUUCACCCGCUGUGUGCAAUGGGGACCAGGGUUCUGACUUCCUAAUGGCAAACGCUUAUGAUUUGUGAGUUGAGGACAACCUGUUCCUUAGGCAGUAUUUUGCUUCUAAGUUAGAGGAAAAGUAAUCCAAAAUUAGUUUUAGAAAUUCAUUGUAGUAUCAAAGAGCAUACCUGUUUUUGAAGUAUUAUGUGCACCCAAAGUAAUAUUUUAAAUAGGAGACUAGUAUGUUCUAGAUUAAGCAGAAAUAAGUAUCUUUGCAUAGUGUUCCAAAGCUUCCCUGUGUGCUGGAAAUCACCUCGUGCACUUCUUUGCAUAGUGUAUUUUUCUUUCAUUCUGCUUUUUUCUUGGUUUGAUAAUCGGAAACACCAUGUCCAUCACAUGAGUAAAAUUUGGAUAAAAAUACCACCCAGUUGUAAAUGUACAACAUUGUUAAAAUGCACUCUGUGUGUUCUCAUGAAAGCUAUUCACCCCAAAACCUUACUCCAGCCAGCAACAGGAUUCAAAUGCUAAUGUUAGAUAAAAAAAGUUUUUUUUGGAGACAGGGUCUCACUAUGUAGCCCAGGCUAGCCUUGAACUCACAGUGAUCCUCCUACCUCUGUCUCCUGAGGGCUAGGAUUACAGGCAUGCACCACCACACCCAACCUAGAAUUAGAUAAAAUUUAAAGAGUUGUAUCAUAUGCCAAUUUCUUAAUUUUUCUUUCAUGUUAAGCUUAUUCUCUAAUUGUUCCUUUCUUCCAUUUACAUUCCACUGGGCUCAAAAAUUCCACUGGGCUCAAAUAAGAGGAAAUCAGAUAACUAAAAAGAAAUUAAAGAGAAUGCAAUAGAUAAAUGUUUUCUAGACGUUCAGAGAAGGCUGAGUGCACCUGCCAUGUGUUUGCAUCUACUAAGGAGCUGAGUGCUGAAUACUGAAUCCAAGAAUGGUGAUCGUGCUAGAUGACCACACUGUAGUCCAGAGGGUUUGGUCUUUCUCAAGAAAAUCUUCAUCCUUCAGAAGCUCAACCUGGGAUAAACAAAAAGAACUGAUUCAGCAAGUGAUGACAGGAGCAUUCUAGAUAUUUCUGAGGCUCCAUACCUGCUUUGCGGUGUCAGCUUCCCUGCUGUCAAGGGGCAUUCCCAGGAUGGCGCUCCCAGAAUGCUCUGUGAUCUACCUUGAGUAUUAAACACUUUGGGGAAGUGAAUCAGGAAAGAAAAAGCUUUGUCUCUGACUUUGGGGAGGGCAUGAGGGCUGCAAGAGACAAAUCCCAGAAAAUUUAAGUAUAAUUAGAAAGUCCCAGGGAUUGUGGGCAAGACCAUCUGGAAUAAAGUAGGGCCUGGGGAGCAAAAUAUUCCUAUAUCAGGAGAGUCCAAGUGCAGCUUAUUCUUGACUACUUGGGUUUAAACUUCAUCACUGCUAUUUAUAUUUAAUGUAUACUUAAUGUGCAACUUUAGUUAGAAAAGCUGAUUAUGUCUAGGAAAAAUGGAAUAUACAGUGCCCACUUCAUUAGUUCUGUGGAUUAAAUAAGAUAAUAAUUAGAAAGUGAUUAGCCUAUCUAGAACAUGAUAUAUGCAGGCAGUGUUGUUGUCACUGCCUGCAUAUAUCAUGCUCUAGAUAGGCUUUUUGUUUUUUAACAUACAAGAUGUGCUUUGGGAGAGACCUGUCUACUAUUUGCACAGUGCUGUUGCAGCUGAUAGCCCAGGGCAUUAGCAGUGUUUUGUUGCUGUGGUAGAAGGGAGGGCACCUGCUUCCCUAAAAAUCCCUGGUGCUGUGGGAAAUUAGAGAUUGGUCCAGGGAUGGAAACUGGACAUUCUCUGGGUAAUCCUGAGGCUGUGGCCACUGCUGCAGGUGAUGUACCCACUCAUUUGCCUGCUAUCCAGCAGCAUACUGAUAAGAGGGCCUCUGCAGUUCCUGCUGCUGCCCCACUCCCCACCCACUGAAGACACAGAGGAAAAAGAAGCCUGCAGCUUGCUGGUCACUCUGUGACUCAUAACCUACACUCUGAAGAUACUGCCCAGAUGCAGUAGAACAAAUAAAAGUGGCUGGUGUGAAGUUGGAAGGUCCACUUCCUAGGUUAUUUUUAUAUGCUGGAGCACAACUUGAUUGCAUGUUAUUGCCCAUGGCUCCAAAGUCUCAUGACCCCAACCCAUCCACUAGGAACCCCUAUGUGUCUGAGGAGAGAAGCCAGCUCUGUCUAGAACAGCUUCCUGCCAUGAAAGGGUUGCACCUCAUUACUUUUGUAGCCUGGGACAGGAUGCACCUUGGACAGGUAACUCAUGACGUCUCCCCAGGGGUGAGGGUUCUAUGGCUCCCUGGGUGGUAGUCAGCUCUUCUAUUUUGGAUUUGUCAGUAACAUGCAGGUGACAGUGGGUUUGAUUGCCUGAUUCUUCCUUGGCUAUGAAGUCAGGGUAAGGAUUCUGUUCAAAUGAUGGAUAUAGGCUAUCCAGUACAGCCUUCAUAAAUUUGUCAUCGUUUUCCUCUUUCAUGUCUUGUUCCUCUUACAUUGUUCUGUUUAUUUUCCCCAGCUGAAGGUCCACUGGCUUCUAUGAAGAUUUCCAGUGUGGGGUCUCUUGGGCAUUGCUGUGGCCUUUCUUCUCUCUGGGUGUUCACAGACUGUGUGGUCACUGGACAGGUCAAGAUCUUUCUAAUGCUACCUCAGCACUGGGCCUUUGGGGUGCUAGGGUAGCCCUUGGCCUCUGAUGCUACUGCGAUGCAGGUGCUACUACAGUUCACAGUCUCUCUGAGUGACCAGUGUUGCUGUCAUUAAUGCCAUAGAUAAAACAUUUGAUCCAGGAAUUGCCUCAUUUAAGAAAGGUAACUUUCCAUAUGCCUGUAAUUUCAGCAUGGGAGGUUAAAGCAGAAGGGUUAUAGUGAGUCCAAGGUCAACAUGGGCUACGUAGAGUUUCCACUUGUUAUGGUUUGUGCCCAGUUGUCCCCUCAAACCCUCAUGCAGUCUGGAAAUGGUUGAGUAUACGUUUUUGAUUGGUUCAUUGUCUAGUGCUGGGAUUGGUGGUGUGAGUGCUGCACCUGCCCAGGGGCGGGUAGUCAGCAUACAAUAUAAAGAAGGAAAGGAGGGGUGCUUUCCCCUUGUUUCCUUUUUGCCCUUGUUGCUUUCUUGUCUUCUGUGGCCUGAAUGUGUUGCCCCUGUGCCAGGCCACUCUGCCUUGGAGCCAACUGAGUAUGGAUUGAAACCUCCAUGAUCUGUGAGCUAAAUAAACCUUUCCUUCCUUAAUUUUGGGUGUUGGAUAUUUUGUCCUAGCAGUGAGGAAAAAAGUAACUGAGACACUCUCCCCUCAAGCCAAAAUGUCACUGAGUAAUUCUAACAUUUCUAUUAUCAGCAACUUUUUUUCUCAUUGCCAGUUGCAGUUUCCUUUUAUUACAAAGUAAUAUGUUUGCACAGCAGUAUUCCUAAACCAAAGAUUGGUAUGCCAAGGAGGAACAUGGAUUGUAGCUAAGCUCUGCCAAGGGCUGUGCCAGGCAUGUGUGGCAUCCAGAGCAGUGUGGGGCCAAUUAAGACUUCUGGCUGCAGGCAGGGAUGGGAGGGGCCUCCCAUACAGCCACCUGUGGCUGCGUGGAGACUCCUGACUCGGGAGCUGACUGCAGUGGCUGUGCCAGGCGCCCACCUUAGUUUUGUCCCACACUUCUGAGUAAACAGCAGUUAUUGGAAGAACAUGCAGGAUGGUGCUGGAUGUAGAUUAUCCCUUCUUCAGUGAGACUGGAGAGAGGGGGUCUAGUUUCCAGUAGAUGCUCAUUAGAAUUUAGUGAACUGUGUGUUUGGAAGGGAGUAAUACUUGGACAGAGGUUAGAUUGCUUCUUUUUCUUGAAUCCUUUUGCAAACUCUAUACCAGUUAAGACAGUGUGCUCCUGGAAGAAUUCUUUAAAUUGGUUGUAUAGUGCAAUAUAGUAAAAAAUUACACUUGUCCCGGUCACUUCUUAGAGAACAUUCAGUUCUUUAUUGCAUUGACUUCCCACUGUUCUGCAAAUUAGUCACCUGGGAAACAUGAAAUGAGUAGUCCUCUGCUACUGGUCCCCUGCUAAAGGACCAUUUCCAGGGGUGAAGACUGGCAAUCAGUUCUUGAAAAUUCUCCCAGGUAAUUCUAAUUGAUGAAUAGGAUUGAGAAUCAUUGCUUUACUAGUGACUUAGAAUAGCUUGACAUGGAUGGCAUUAUUUUGCUAUGGGAGUCUUUCAGUAUCAGAGUUUGUCCAAGUUGCCUAGCUUCCCUGUCACCAAAUAUUUAAUAUUUACAGUUAUGAUUACACCUGCAUAUGAAUUCUGCUGAGCUAGUCCAUAAAUAUUCCCUCUAUAUACCUUAGUCACUAUAUCUACUUACACUUUAAAAAGUAGCAUCAUAUGCUCCAGCCACACCACUUUUUCUGUCUAUGAAUCACUCUGGACUUUCAGAGAAAUAAUCGUAGGCCUCUCCUGGGUCAGACUCUCCAAGUUUUAUCUGUGUAUAAAGUUAGGAUGUCAUAAAGUGGCAUAUUUAUGGUAAACUUCCCUUCUGUAUUAAGUUUAAAGACCAACUAAUCCCCACCCUCCAUAAAGAUGAAUGUAUAUGAGCAACAUCAAUUUGAAAAUAGUGCUUUUACUGUUAGAAUUCAGAUAUGACCUUCCUGGGACCAACUGAUGACUUUCAACCAACUUUAGCAAUUUCAACUCUCAGUCCCUAGCCUGCUUCUGACUCAGGAGGCUUCAGCAAAAAGAGAUGGAGAUCUUUGCCUUCGUAGAAUUUACAUACCAGUAGGGAAAAAGAGACCAGAAGCAAAAUAAGUGAGCUAAAAAGUAAGAUGGUGAUAUAUAUUUCAGAGGGAAAAAUAAAGACAGUUGAGAUGACAGAAUGGUAGGAAGUUUACUGUUAAGUGUGGUUAGCAGCAAAGGAUUCAGAGGUGGUAUUUUGCACAGAAAUGGAUUGGCUGGAGAGAACAUGACCGGAGAACAGGAAGGUCACUGCUUGGCGUUGCUGGUGAGGAACUGCAGCAGUUUUUGGAGUGGAAGGAAGAGAGAGAGAGAGAGAGAGAGAGAGAGAGAGAGAGAGAGAGAGAGAGAGAGAGGAGAGAGAGAAAGUUCCCUUGGUCCUGGUUGGAGCAUUUCUCCCAGGAGCUCCUGUUCUGAAGCUGUAUCCCCACUGGAGGGUGGGAAGAGGGUGGAAACUCAGUCUGACUGUGGUUCAGAGGUGGAGCUUUUAGGAAGUGAUCAAGAUUAGAUAGUCAUCAGGGUGCAGUGCCCAUGCCUGACUCUUGCUGGCUUUAUAAGAGGAGACAGGGAAGAGAACAUACUUCCCGCCUCUUGUCAUGUCACCCUGGCACCACCUUGAGACUUAGCCUGUGAAAAGGUCAUCCCUGGACAUAGCCUCUCAACAUUUUACCUCUGUAACUGAAUCAAAACAAACUGCUUUCCAUUACAGCGUGUGGUGCUGUGUUUUUGGAAUAGUGAAGUUGGAGGAACUUUUAACUUCCGUGGGUAAAGGUAUAGAUGAGGCGGGUAACGUCACCAUCAGGGAGAGCAAUGCGUGCUGUGUGGCUGUCAGAUGCCUGCUUGGACUGGGUGUCUUCGUGGGUCCUCAGGAGCUGUCAGAGUUCUGCUGCUCCCAGGGACCCUUCAUUCUUGCUAAGCGGCUUCUUCAAUUUGCAGAUGGCGGGAAAUAGUGAAAAGGCAGAUUCAGAGCUGGCGUCUUUUGGCAUGUAAACUUCACGAUGGCAAAGAGUUCUGUGUUCUUGGUCUGUUGGGUGUCCCUGGGAGUCAGAUGGGUGCCUGGAGCAUUACACAGCUACUGCACAGCGAGUGUUGAAUGAUUUCUAAUCAGUCAGCAUCCCUGCUGUUCUUACUGAAGAGGAGUUAACUGAGAUUCAUCAGCUUGCUUUGAGUUAAAAAGACUGAUUUGUGGCGGUGCUAUUUAUUGACCUUUCUUUUGUAACCACAAUGCUAUUUUAAGAGUGAGGACAAUUGGUCAUAUUACAAUUGUUGCACUUAAAAUCCUCUACUUGUAUUAGAUGCUAUCUUGUUUUUUGAAGAAAGGAGAGCCUGUAUUUGAUUUUCCUACACAUGACAAUGGUAUGCCUCCAUAGGUAGUCUUUAUAAUUGACUUUAUAAUUGAUACAGAUGUUUAUAUACCUAGUCAUAUAGUAAUUGUUAGUAUUUCAAUAAAGUUUCUCCAUUAAAUAUCAAAAAAUUAUUAUUGAUCUGUAUUUAGAAUUCUUUUUGUUGACUUAAAUUUUUUUAUUUUAAAGAUAAUAAAAUCCAACAAAACAAAAAAGAUUAAAGCCAGUCAAAACAAAGCAGUGAAACCAGCAUAGAACUUUAAAGCAGGGUGACAGGAAAACAACAAUGACCACCAUAGUGUAACUUGUUUAUAAUAGUUGUCUAUUCCAUCAGAUAUAGCAAAAUCAAGCCAAAAACAGAACAGUAAAAACCAAUCAAAACAAAACAUUGAAUAAAGAAAAACCAUCAGAACAAAACAAAACAGUGAGAACAAUAUUGGACCUCAAAAACAAGAUAGAAGGAAAUCACCCAUAUUUGCUAUAUUAUAUACUAUCAUCCCAGCGGAUGCUCAGACCAUCAGCCCCAGGCCUGAAAAGUUAACCAAACAAUACAAGCACUCAGUUACUUUUUGUCUAUCAGUUAUUAUCAAUUCAGCCUGUCCUCUGAACCAGCUGGUUGCUUGGGGAAGGGUCCUUGAUUCUCAGCCUGUGUGCUGGUAGGCUCACGGGCGGCUCUAGCCAACUUUUCUCUUGCUGAGCCCUGCAUAGUCUGUGUGGCUUACCAGAGAGGCUGGCUGGUUGGCUUCUUGGUGGGCUUCUCCCAGUCCCAGCAUGGCUGAUUCUCAGGAGGCGCUGACUGCUCUCUUCCUGGGCUGUGUAUGCCUUGCUGAUAUCACCUUUUGAUGUUAGGUGGUAUCAUACCAAAUUACAGCAAAUAUUUAAAUUAAAUAUUUAAAUUAAUAAAAGGCAUUGUCACUUAUCGCACUCAAAAUUUUUCCCAGUCCUUUGAGCAUGCUAAACCCAUUGUUCUUGCCACAUUUUAAAGUAGUUCUGGAGCUCUCUUUUGUGACUGUGUUUAGUGGUGCAGUUGAGGCUCCCUUGAGGUAUUGAAUCUAUUAAAAAAAUUUACUUUUCAGGGUCAUUUGGACUUAGGGGAAACAGCCAGAAGUCAUACAAUGCCAGAUCCAGCUGGGAAUUAUAGCAUUGUACCUUUUCCUGUAAUACACUUUUUAAAUUAAAAAAUUUACUGUAUAUUUUGAUCAUCUUGUAUUUGCAUGGCAUAGUUCCUCAGUUGUCUAUGUGAACCUGACCUUCUCUGUUUGAAUGUCCUUUCCUUGACUACCUUAUGGGGAGGAGGGAAUGGAAGGGAACAGAGAAAAAAAUGAGAAAAAUAAAAGGAUAAAAUGGAAACAAAGUUUUGUAAAUAGUGGAGGAGAAAGUGGAAUUAAGAUACAUCAUGUACAGUUACCAAUUCUGUGUGAUGAAUGUGAUUAUUAUGUAUAUCUAAAGUGUACCAAUAAAGUUAAUAAAAAACUUA